AGAGUUUGAUCCUGGCUCAGGAUGAACGCUGGCGGUGUGCCUAAUACAUGCAAGUCGAACGAAGACCCUUGUACUCGUACGAGGAAUUCUUAGUGGCGAACGGGUGAGUAUCGCGUUGGUGACCUGCCCCGAAGUGGGGGACAACAGUCCGAAAGGACUGCUAAUACCCCAUGUGGCCGUGAUAAUUAGAAAGUCACGACUAAGGGAGUAAUCCGCUUCGGGAGGGGCCUGCGUCCCAUCAGCUAGUUGGUAAGGUAAUGGCUUACCAAGGCUACGACGGGUAGGGGACCUGAGAGGGUGGCCCCCCACACUGGUACUGAAACACGGACCAGACACCUACGGGUGGCAGCAGUAGGGAAUAUUGCACAAUGGGCGAAAGCCUGAUGCAGCAACACCGCGUGUGUGAUGAAGGCCUUCGGGUCGUAAAGCACUUUUAUGGGGGAAGAGGAAGGACGGUACCUCAUGAAUAAGGAUCGGCUAACUACGUGCCAGCAGCCGCGGUAACACGUAGGAUCCAAGCGUUAUCCGGAUUUACUGGGCGUAAAGCGCGUGUAGGCGGCUUAGUAAGUUGGAUGUGAAAGCUCCCGGCCCAACCGGGAGACGUCGUUCAAUACUGCUAGGCUUGAGGACGAUAGAGGAAGGUGGAAUUCCGGGUGUAGUGGU
Molecule: ribosomal RNA, 663 nt
Filed under: uncultured bacterium
Lineage: Bacteria
Description: bacterial SSU rRNA
Rfam family: Bacterial small subunit ribosomal RNA
Source: RNAcentral